This 337-nucleotide long non-coding RNA is filed under the name Elaeis guineensis (African oil palm). RNAcentral's name for it is "long non-coding RNA (EGUI_LNC079540)". The record is from RNAcentral. Lineage: Eukaryota; Viridiplantae; Streptophyta; Magnoliopsida; Arecales; Arecaceae.
GGACACCACUGUUUAAAAGAAAGAAUUAAACUUUGUUAGAUAUGGUUCGGUCCAUUGUGGGUUUGCUAGUCAGUCGGAAGUUAUGCUUUAGAGACUACUUGAUAUGUGCUCAAGAAUAUUUCGAGCAAAUCGAUCACCAAAACUCUAUAUAAGAUAUAGACUUGGAUAAUUCGAUACUCACUUACCUUAGGUUUGAGGUGUCGAACUUACAUGAAAUAUUCACAAAUCGACUAGCUUAGAUCUUGAUUUGAUAAAUAUUAUUUUAGGAAUAUUUUUUCUACCUUCUUGAUGGAUAUGAGAUGUUCAUAAAUCUUAAGGUAUUUUUUUUGAAAAAGAA